This 916-nucleotide ribosomal RNA is filed under the name Zoanthus sociatus. RNAcentral's name for it is "partial large subunit ribosomal RNA". It matches the Rfam family "Bacterial large subunit ribosomal RNA", at positions 1574 to 2559 of the family's 2925-position model. The record is from RNAcentral. RNAcentral also lists the same sequence under 1 other name. Lineage: Eukaryota; Metazoa; Cnidaria; Anthozoa; Zoantharia; Zoanthidae.
CGCACAAAGUGCCAGGAAAGAAUUAUUCAAGCCCUUCCCAGAAGGUAUCCUUCUGGCAAGGGUACUGUACUAAACUAACUAAAGUGGGGGAUAGUGAGGGGAUAAAUUUUCUUAAGGAACUCGGCAAAAUCCCAAUGGCCCACCAGGGCAUAUUGGAACACGGGCCUCGACUGUUUACCAAAAACAUAGCCCUCGGCUAAUAUGAAAAUAGAUGUAUAGAGGGUGAUGCCUGCCCAAUGGUUGUAUCUAAAAGCGGUUGAUAAAAGUUGACCUCGUAAGGACAAUUGAAUGGCCGCGGUAACACUGACCGUGAUAAUGUAGCGUAAUCAAUAGCCAAUUAAUUGUUGGCCAGUAUGAAUGGCGCCACGAAGGCCCCACUGUCUUAAGGAAAUUCCCAGUGAAAUUGAAUUCGUAGUGAAGAUGCUACGUCCAAUUUGUUAGACGAAAAGACCCCGUUGAGCUUUACUGGAGCACUUACAUGGCCCCGGCCUUCCCAUGCCUGGGAACCGGCCGAAUUUAAAUGGGCGGCUUAGAUUAUGUGGCAGCCCCCCGCUGGGGCAAAUGAAACACCACUCCCCCAUGUCAAAGGGGCUAACCCCCCCCCUUGGGGGGACAGUGUAAGUAGGACAGUUUGGUUGGGGCGACCACCUUUUAAAAAGUAACGAAGGUGCGCUUAAGGUGCGCAAUUAAUGACUGAAGCCUGACUGCGAGGGGGACACCCCGAGCAGACACCCCAAAGCCCGCCCGAAAGGCGGCGGUGGGGUGGGCCAUAGUGACCCGUUAAUUUAGAGUGGAAUAGUUAACGAUCAACGAAUAAAAGUUACCACGGGGAUAACAGCGUAAUAUCGUUAGAGAGUUCACAUCGACGACGAUGUUUGCGACCUCGAUGUUGAAUUGCGGCAUCCUGGGGUGCAGC